Molecule: long non-coding RNA, 2746 nt
Organism: Globicephala melas (long-finned pilot whale)
Lineage: Eukaryota; Metazoa; Chordata; Mammalia; Artiodactyla; Delphinidae
Source: RefSeq, a predicted model, not a curated record
CGGCUGCGCGCGGCCGCCGCGGAGUCUCGGGGACCGGCUGCGGCCGGGGCCCAGGCGUCUCCGCACUCGGGCCGCCGCCGGGGUCGGGCUUCCGGUUGUGGGGCGGCGAGGCUGUAGGGAGAGAAGAGGAGAGGCCGGGGAGGCCGUCAGGGAAUGUUGUGAAUGCCCUGAAGCCCACACCCUGAAAUGUAGAGGCAGAGAGCUGACUGGAAGGCUCCUAGAGGCUCCCAGGGUGGCACCAGCCUGGAAGAACUUGCCAGGGUCCAAGGCUGCAUCUUGGGCAGCACAUGGCUUGCAGGAGCAGAAGCCAUAUUCAUGGUGGAAAGCACAGAGAGCUCGAAGAGACUGAACUAUGUAAGUCAGAAUGCCACUUUAUUAAUUUACAACAAGAAAUCGACUCAGGCACACCUGCAGGCUCGUGUCAGCCUGGCUAGCGUUCUCUUUCUAAAAACAAGUCACCUGGGAAGCCAAAUUACCAUCAGAGUGCUUGGUAAUAUAAGCCAGAGCACAGGGAAUUCGUCCUACAAUUGGAAUGUUUAAAGGUAUUUGUUUCUCAUAACCUAAUAUGUCCACCUUUACAUGCCUAUCUUCCACAUGUCAGGUGGAAGAACCUAAGAGCCUAAUUGCCUUCCUCUCCCCUGCCAAUUUCUGGCAUUUUGAGUGUAUCUUUCUGCUUUACAAAUAAUUGUUGAGCAUCUACUCUGUGUUGUAUAGUAAAGGAUUUGUGCCAGGUUCCUGGCAUGGAGCUUCUAACUCUUGGAAUCUCCCAAGUGAUGGAAGCGUCUUAAUGAUUCACGAGCUUCCUGGAUCACACCUGAGUUUAUGCUAAUGCAGUGACUCUUGGAGGGCCCCUUGAUAGCUUAGGGCUGGGAGCUGGUCAUCAGAAAGACCAACCAUGUAAUUAGAGGGUUGGGACUUUGAGCCUGUCUGACCUCCAGGGGGCGGAGAGAGGCUGGAGAUUGGGUUCAAUCAGAUGGUCAAUGAUUUAAUCCAUCAUGCCUGCUUAAUGAAACCCAUUGACAGCUUCCUGGUCCGUGGAGCUUCCUGGUCAGUGACCACACUGAUGUGCUAGAAGGGUGAUGCACUGUGAUCCAUGGAGAGAAAACCCUGAAGCAUCUGGGACCCUCCCAGAUCUUGCCCCAUGUGUCUCCUCAUUUGGCUGGGUCUGAUUUGUUCCUUUAUAAUAAAACUUUGAUCGUAAGUAGAGCACUUUCCUGAGUUUUGUGAGUUGUUGUAGAGAAUUAUCAAGCCUGAGAGGGAUCUUGAGAACCCCCUAGAUUUAUACCCAGCUGUCUGAAAUGAGGGCAGUCUUGUUCUGGGUCAUCUGCCCUUUAACUAGUGAGGCCUGCGCUAACUCUGGAUGGUUACUGUCAGAAUUGAAUUGCAGCCCACCACUUGGUAUCAAAACACUAUGUGCCCCGGGAAUUCCCUGGCGGUCCAGUGGUUAGGACUUGGUGCUUUCACUGCCAGAGCCCAGGUUCAAUCCCUAGCUGGGGAACUAAGAUCCCACAAGCUGCGCAGCACGGCCAAGGAAACACAAAAACAAAGAAACGCCAUGUGCCAGGCGUUUUAGAAGCUGGAAAUACCCGUCGUCAUCAUCUUUCUUCAAAAAGAGUACAAUACUGUUGCUCUGGUUCCCAUUAGGUAAAUUAGGGUCAUGUUCUAGUUCGAGUUCAGGACCAUCCUGAUUGGGGCCGAGGUCUCCCCAGAUUCUUCAGGCUUUCACAGAUAGCUGCUAGGUUUACUCCUACAGGCACCAGGCUAGGUCCUGGAAUACUGGGACAUAAAUCCUCCCCUCAAGUGGCUGACAGACUGCUGUGGGGAAUAACGUUCCAUUAUAGUGUUAAGUGCAAUAUUAAAAGGCUACAGGAGACAUCACAUAAACUCUGGUUUGAAGAAUGACUGGGACGCACCAGAUAGACCAAGGAGGGCAGGCAUUGCAGGCUGAGACAACAGCACAUGCAAUGGCACCAGGGUACAAGAGAGCAUGUGCAUCUACCCAGGCCCGGGAAGCAUGACGGCACACUAGGGAAGGAGCCCCAAUGGGGGAAGAUGCUGAGAGCCUCGAUGCCCUAUAGAUGGACCAUGGCUUCCAUGAUGAUUUUUAAUGACUGAAUUCCUAGACUAUUACAUUGCUGAGUCAAAAGAUCGUUUCCUCUGGGGGAAGCCAGCUGCCGUGUUGGGAGAACCCUCAGGCAGUCUGUGAGAGGCCCACAGCAAGGAAGCAACUGAAGUCUUCAUCCAACAGUCAGUGAGAAGCUGAGGUCUACCAACAGCUAGUAAGUGAGCCUGAAGGCAGAUCCUCUCCCAGUUGAGCCUCCAGAUAAGACUGCAGCCCCAGUGCAGAGCUUGACUGAAACCUCCCCCUGAGACACCUGAACCACCCGGUAAACCUCUCCCAGAUUCCUGGCCCAGAGAAAGUGUGAGUAAUAAUGUUCAUUGUUUUAAGCUGCUAAAUUUUGGGGUAAUUCGUUUUGUGGCAAUAAAUAACUAACACACAGUUGAAGACCCCUUAGGCUCCUCCCUCAUCCAAUUUCUUUUCCUUCCCAGAGGUAAUCAUUAUGCUGAACUUGGGGUCUCUACCAUUCUCCUGGAUGUUUUUCCUACUAUGAUUUUGUCAACUAUGGUAAAAAGAUAUCUUAUAAAUUAAUGUUGAGGGGUUUAAAAAUUAUAAUUACAAAUUUUGGAAUGUUCCAUAUAAAUAUGCAAUUGUAGUUCAAUAAAUCAUCUCUGAAAUGAAUAAUAA